This 75-nucleotide transfer RNA is filed under the name Bacillota bacterium. RNAcentral describes it as "tRNA-Ala". It matches the Rfam family "tRNA". From Rfam's summary of the family: Transfer RNA (tRNA) molecules are approximately 80 nucleotides in length. Their secondary structure includes four short double-helical elements and three loops (D, anti-codon, and T loops). RNAcentral also lists the same sequence under 1 other name. Lineage: Bacteria; Bacillati; Bacillota. The record is from RNAcentral.
GGGGAUGUAGCUUAGCGGGAAAGCGCCUGCCUUGCACGCAGGAGACCGGCGGUUCGAAUCCGCUCAUCUCCACCA